UUUCUUUGGGAAUGAUUAUUUUGUGACUGAGUGGCGGACGGGUGAGUAACGCGUGGGUAACCUGCCUUGUACUGGGGGAUAGCAGCUGGAAACGGCUGGUAAUACCGCAUAAGCGCACAGGAUUGCAUGAUCUGGUGUGAAAAACUCCGGUGGUAUAAGAUGGACCCGCGUCUGAUUAGCUGGUUGGUGAGGUAACGGCCCACCAAGGCGACGAUCAGUAGCCGACCUGAGAGGGUGACCGGCCACAUUGGGACUGAGACACGGCCCAAACUCC
This 274-nucleotide ribosomal RNA is filed under the name uncultured Lachnospiraceae bacterium. Its description in RNAcentral is "partial 16S ribosomal RNA". It matches the Rfam family "Bacterial small subunit ribosomal RNA", at positions 75 to 339 of the family's 1533-position model. Lineage: Bacteria; Bacillati; Bacillota; Clostridia; Lachnospirales; Lachnospiraceae. The record is from RNAcentral.